ACAAUUAUCAGUAACGUCCAUAUCAUCGAUACUUCACACAGCGCUGAUGCACAGUUACAGAAUUAUCGGGGAACGAUUUCAGACAUAUGUGUAGGAGACAAUGAAUUAAUGUACUACGAAGUAAACUAUACAUAUACAAUAGUCGACAAAUUAUCUGCAAAUAUUCUUGUUCUAGAGGUAGGUCUGGCCGAACGUUCAAAGGCUGAUAGGUUUUUCUACGUUGGGAACAGCAACGUAAGCGGAUGGUCUUUUUACCUAGCAAGGGGUUCGGUUGUUGACCAUGUGUUCUUGUAUUCACAAAAUACUGAUUAUACCCGAGUUUUGGAAUCAAUCGGUAAUAAUAUAGUUGGUACAAAAGCUCAUGGGAAAUUUAUGUUGUUCAUAAACAGACGGCGAAAUGAAUUUUCGCUAAAGCAAGAUGAAUCGAUAUUCCAUGUAUUCAAGAAUGUGACCUCAAAUGUGAAACUUUGUCCUGUUUUCGCGGUGUACAGUUCCAGCAGAGUUAAUGUCAAAUUACAAUUAAUGAAUCCUCGAAACUUUACCUAUUAUCCGUGGUAAAAUAUUUAAUAAAGACACUCUAUGGAUAUUAAUAUUCAAUGAUGCGUUGAAUAAUGUCUUUAUGUUCCACAAUGAUUUAUUUCCUGUGUGGUGUGAUUUAACUUUUUUGUGUCGUCUGAUCAUUUUUUUUUCCUUCUUUUAGUCAUAAUGCUGACUGACUAUCAUCAUUAU
RNAcentral lists this long non-coding RNA (729 nucleotides) under Mytilus galloprovincialis (Mediterranean mussel). The record is from RNAcentral. Lineage: Eukaryota; Metazoa; Mollusca; Bivalvia; Mytilida; Mytilidae.